UUUAUGGAGAGUUUGAUCCUGGCUCAGGAUGAACGCUGGCGGCGUGCCUAAUACAUGCAAGUCGAGCGAACAGAUGAGGAGCUUGCUCCUUUGACGUUAGCGGCGGACGGGUGAGUAACACGUGGGUAACCUACCUAUAAGACUGGAAUAACUCCGGGAAACCGGGGCUAAUGCCGGAUAACAUGUUGAACCGCAUGGUUCAACAGUGAAAGACGGUCUUGCUGUCACUUAUAGAUGGACCCGCGCCGUAUUAGCUAGUUGGUAAGGUAACGGCUUACCAAGGCGACGAUACGUAGCCGACCUGAGAGGGUGAUCGG
This 317-nucleotide ribosomal RNA is filed under the name Staphylococcus agnetis. RNAcentral describes it as "bacterial SSU rRNA". It matches the Rfam family "Bacterial small subunit ribosomal RNA", at positions 1 to 307 of the family's 1533-position model. Lineage: Bacteria; Bacillati; Bacillota; Bacilli; Caryophanales; Staphylococcaceae. The record is from RNAcentral.